UCUUUCGGGACCUCUCGCUGCAGGGGCGGCCGAUGGCAGAUUAGCUAGUUGGUGGGGUAAAGGCCUACCAAGGCGACGAUCUGUAGCUGGUCUGAGAGGACGACCAGCCACACUGGGACUGAGACACGGCCCAGACUCCUACGGGAGGCAGCAGUGGGGAAUUUUGGACAAUGGGGGCAACCCUGAUCCAGCAAUGCCGCGUGUGUGAAGAAGGCCUUCGGGUUGUAAAGCACUUUUGUCCGGAAAGAAAACUUCGGGGUUAAUACCCCUGGAGGAUGACGGUACCGGAAGAAUAAGCACCGGCUAACUACGUGCCAGCAGCCGCGGUAAUACGUAGGGUGCGAGCGUUAAUCGGAAUUACUGGGCGUAAAGCGUGCGCAGGCGGUCCGCUAAGACCGAUGUGAAAUCCCCGGGCUUAACCUGGGAACUGCAUUGGUGACUGGCGGGCUAGAGUAUGGCAGAGGGGGGUAGAAUUCCACGUGUAGCAGUGAAAUGCGUAGAGAUGUGGAGGAAUACCGAUGGCGAAGGCAGCCCCCUGGGCCAAUACUGACGCUCAUGC
RNAcentral lists this ribosomal RNA (559 nucleotides) under Paraburkholderia sp. RNAcentral's name for it is "bacterial SSU rRNA". It matches the Rfam family "Bacterial small subunit ribosomal RNA", at positions 200 to 752 of the family's 1533-position model. Lineage: Bacteria; Pseudomonadati; Pseudomonadota; Betaproteobacteria; Burkholderiales; Burkholderiaceae. The record is from RNAcentral.